GUGCAGCAGUCGCGAAAACUUUGCAAUACACGAAAGUGUGACAGGGCCAUCCCGAGUGCCGUCCGCUGAGGAUGGCUUUUACCCAGUCUAGAAAGCUGGGGGAAUAAGGAGAGGGCAAGUCUGGUGUCAGCCGCCGCGGUAAUACCAGCUCUCCGAGUGGUGGGGAUGUUUAUUGGGCCUAAAGCAUCCGUAGCUGGCUGGGCAAGUCCCCUGUUAAAUCCACCGAUUUAAUCGUUGGUUUGCGGGGGAUACUGCUCGGCUAGGGGACGGGAGAGGCCGACGGUAUUCCCGGGGUAGGGGUGAAAUCCUAUAAUCCCGGGAAGACCACCAGUGGCGAAGGCUGUCGGCUAGAACGCGCCCGACGGUGAGGGAUGAAAGCUGGGGGAGCGAACCGGAUUAGAUACCCGUGUAGUCC
Molecule: ribosomal RNA, 415 nt
Filed under: uncultured crenarchaeote
Lineage: Archaea; Thermoproteati; Thermoproteota
Description: partial 16S ribosomal RNA
Rfam family: Archaeal small subunit ribosomal RNA
Source: RNAcentral